This 57-nucleotide transfer RNA is filed under the name Bos taurus (domestic cattle). It matches the Rfam family "tRNA", at positions 8 to 63 of the family's 71-position model. Rfam says of the family: Transfer RNA (tRNA) molecules are approximately 80 nucleotides in length. Lineage: Eukaryota; Metazoa; Chordata; Mammalia; Artiodactyla; Bovidae. RNAcentral also lists the same sequence under 5 other names. The record is from Rfam by way of RNAcentral.
UAGCUCAGUUGGUAAAGCAUCUGCCUGCAGUGCGGGAGACCUGGGUUCAAUUCCUGG